Olea europaea var. sylvestris is the source of this 990-nucleotide long non-coding RNA. RefSeq lists it as uncharacterized. The transcript is spliced from 2 exons. The record is from RefSeq and is a predicted model, not a curated record. NCBI's taxonomy places the organism in Eukaryota, Viridiplantae, Streptophyta, Magnoliopsida, Lamiales, Oleaceae.
UUUUUCUCUUUCCCCACCACCAUUCACCACUGUCGUCUCUAUAAAACCAUAAAUCAAUAUCAGAAAUGCAAAAUACAAAACCCAAUUUCUCUUAAACUUACCCAUAAAUCACAAAUUCAACUCCAGCAGCAACUGGCCUCUCUGGCUCAUCAAAUGCAAACUCAUCAAAAUGCAAGCAGUUCCUCAACUUCCCAGAAGCAUUUACAGAGCCAACCAACAUUCGGGCAUUGUAAAAUGUGUUUUCCAAAUUGGUUUUCAAAAGUGGAAAAACUUUUUUCCUUGGUGUAACCACUUAGCAUAAAUCUGUUAGUUGAUUUAUGGUGAUUUGGAUCUGUGUUUCUUGUGGCUGAUUUGGAUCGUUGACGUGGAUCUAACGGCUGUGGCUUAAAGGCAUAUUUUAGACUCUUGAACUGGCCCCGUCUGAUUGAUUUUCAUUCAUUCAUUCUUUCAACCUCUAAACUCUUGUGUAACCUCACCUGUUCAAGAUCGGUGGUAUUCAUUGUAAAUUGAAUCUAGUUUCUGAUUUCUGACUUUUUGGUGUAGUGUGUAGUCAGAUUUGGUUCGUGACUAUGUAUAGUUAUCAUCUGCGGAAGUUUUCAGUGUUCUUAUAGUUGAUUAAACUAUAUAGAGUUUUGGCUAUAGUUGUUAUAGUUUUGAGUCGAUUAGGGGUUGCUUUUCUUGAGAUCUAUGUAGAUCAGUGACAGUGUGUUGGGUCUGAUUGUUGUACUCUAAUCUCAAACUCUUUCUUGGGCGGUUCUUUGUACAUAGUGACGGGCCCUUUAGCUCUGAGUCCCCAGAUUAGGCGUUGCCGAACUAGUUUUUGAAUACAGAUCCGAAAUGAGGAUCUUGGAGGCUAGGGUUUGGUAAAGAUGAAUUGGAAUUUUAAAUACUGUUAUACAUAGUGUUUUGGUGAGACUAUUCUAAACAUUUUUUCUCAAUAACAGAUUUGGAUGAUUUAAAUGUAAUAUGUGAAUUUGUUGGAUUACUAUA